UUCCUGUAGUGUAAUAGAUAACGCGUUGGAAUUCUAAUCCAAGUGUCGUAGGCUCGAAUCCCACCUGGGAAG
Trichonephila inaurata madagascariensis is the source of this 72-nucleotide non-coding RNA. The record is from the annotation of a GenBank genome assembly. Lineage: Eukaryota; Metazoa; Arthropoda; Arachnida; Araneae; Nephilidae.